AGCAUGCUAGUCGCGCGGGUUUAGACCCGCGGCAUAUAGCUCAGUAACACGUGGCCAAACUACCCUAUGGACAGGGACAACCUCGGGAAACUGAGGCUAAUCCCUGAUAGAGCUCUCACGCUGGAGUGCCGAGAGCUUGAAACGCUCAGGCGCCAUAGGAUGUGGCUGCGGCCGAUUAGGUAGAUGGUGGGGUAAUGGCCCACCAUGCCGAUAAUCGGUACAGGUUGUGAGAGCAAGAGCCUGGAGACGGUAUCUGAGACAAGAUACCGGGCCCUACGGGGCGCAGCAGGCGCGAAACCUUUACACUGCACGACAGUGCGAUAAGGGGACUCCGAGUGCGAGGGCAUAUAGUCCUCGCUUUUCUGUACCGUAGGGAGGUACAGGAACAAGUGCUGGGCAAGACCGGUGCCAGCCGCCGCGGUAAUACCGGCAGCACGAGUGAUGACCGAUAUUAUUGGGCCUAAAGCGUCCGUAGCUGGCCAGGCAAGUCCGUUGGGAAAUCGACGCGCUCAACGCGUUGGCGUCCAGCGGAAACUGUUUGGCUUGGGGCCAGAAGACCUGGGGGGUACGUCCGGGGUAGGAGUGAAAUCCUGUAAUCCUGGACGGACCACCGAUGGGGAAACCACCUCAGGAGGAUGGACCCGACAGUGAGGGACGAAAGCUAGGGUCUCGAACCGGAUUAGAUACCCGGGUAGUCCUAGCUGUAAACGAUGCUCACUAGGUGUGCCGUAGCUACGAGCCUGCGCUGCGCCAUAGGGAAGCCGAGAAGUGAGCCGCCUGGGAAGUACGUCCGCAAGGAUGAAACUUAA
Molecule: ribosomal RNA, 809 nt
Filed under: uncultured euryarchaeote
Lineage: Archaea; Methanobacteriati; Methanobacteriota
Description: bacterial SSU rRNA
Rfam family: Archaeal small subunit ribosomal RNA
Source: RNAcentral